UUUAUCUUAUUUGUUAAUUAAACCCAAAUUAAAUGGCAUAGAGUAGGCCUUGGGUACCACUGCAGUAACUCCAUUUUUUUCUGUUUUUUUGUUAAAACAGUCAUUUGUCUCUGAACUCUGUAACGGCAGGGAACUCUGUAUUUCCUUUCCCCUUCCUGUCAGCACCUUGCCCAUGUAGUCAUGGUCUCUAUGUAAAGUUGUUCUCACAGAUGAGAACUGCCUCCAUUUGUGCCAAAGCCACAGGGUGACCCUGCCUGACUUUGUGACUGAGAUGAAGGAGCAAGCAUGCUGUCAAAGGGAAGAUAACACCAAUCUAGAAGGAAGUUACAAUACUGAAGACCACAGAAUCAAGAUUAAAAACUCUCGACAGGCUGCAGCCCUGGGUUGGAAACAAGGUAACUGCUUAGAAAUCCAUCUGUUGCCUAUUAAAGAAGACUGGAGGCUGUACGCAGUGGCUCACGCCUGUAAUCCCAGCACUUUGGGAGGCCGAGGCGGGUGGAUCACCUGAGGUCAGGAAUUCGAGACCAGCCUGACCAACAUGCAGAAACCCCGUCUCUACUAAAAAAAUAAAAUAAAAUUAGCCAGGCGUGGUGGCAGAUGCCUGUAAUCCCAGCUACUUGGGAGGCUGAGGCAGGAGAAUUGCUUCAACCUGGGAGGCAGAGGUUGUGGUGAGCCGAGAUUGCGCCACUGCACUCCAGCCUGGGCAACGAGUGAAACUCCGUCUCAAAAAAAAAAAAAAAAAAAGAAAAAAGAAAAAAGACUGGAAAGUAUAGUGGUAUAAAUCAAAAAGUAUCAGAGACAGAUCUCAAUCAACUUAGCAGUUUAUUUUGCCAAGGUUAAGGACAUGGCCGGAAGAAAGGAACACAGAUACCACAGAAACAGCAUGUGGUCGGGGCUUUUCUUCAAAGAUCACUUUGAAGCCUUCAGUAUUUAAAGGGGAAAAGCAGGCUGGAAGAGAAAGAGGGAGGAUGUGGUCACAUGACUGAAUCCACAUGUUGCAAGAGAAAAGGAGCAAGUAGGAGAACAGACAAUUAUGUAGUCGUCUCCCACUCAGUAAAUCAGCACUGAUCACUGAUAAGGUGAACAUAGAGUAGCUGACUGUGGAGACAUCCGGCCUUUUAUCUGUAGCUGUCUGCUUAGGAACAAAGAGAAAGGCAAUUUCUGGCCAUGACUCAGCUUUCAGCUUAAUGUUUUCCUUUUGGCAUCAUGAAACGGGGUCCUGAGAUUUUAUUUUCUUUCACGGUGGUUAAAUAAAUGGCCUUUAGAGUUUGAUAGAGUUGGGUCUGAUUAUCAACUUUAGCACUGUGUGCUGUAUGACAUUGUCUCUUCACAUCACUAAGUCUAUUUUCUUGUAGGUGAAAUAUGAAUAUUGACAAAGUUGGUAUGAGGAUUAAGUGAGAUAAUGCAUUUAAAGCACAUAGUCUCAACAAACAAUAGUUAUGACUGUUAUUAUGAUCAUUGUUACUAUUCUUGAACGGGCAGUGAAUACAUUGUGCUAACCCUGGACCUGCCAGAUAGGUGUCUUCUGCCUUUCAGAUUCAGGAUGUCUCCCGUAAAGCAAAACAAAAACCUAUCCUGACCUUCUUGGAUGAUUCAUAAACACUUGGUGAACAGUUUUUACUACACAUUUGUUCCCUGAUAGCCCCUUAGAAGUCUGUGGAACUGGCUGGGCGUGGUGGCUCAUGCAUGUAAUCUCAGCACUUUGAGAGGCAGAGGUGGGCGGAUAACUUGAGGUCAGGAGUUUGAGACCAGCCUGACCAACAUGGUGAAACCCCGUCUCAACUAAAAAUACAAAAAUUAGCCAGGCAUUGUGGUGGGGGUCUGUAAUCUCAGCUACUUGGGAGGCUGAGACAGGAGAAUUGCUUGAACCCAUGAGGCGGAGGUUGCAGUGAGUCGAGAUCGCGCCACUGCACUCCAGCCUGGGUGACAGAGUGAGACUCUGUCUCAAAAAAACAAAAAACAAAAAACAAAAAGAAAACUGUGGAAUAGUUGCCUGAGUCUUUGGGUGUGAGAUACUUAUGCAGCACAGCAGCUUCAAUACUGUGCUCUGAAAUCUCGGGUCUAGUUACUAUGGAAUGGAAAGCUGAGGACAGGGAGUAGAAGGAGAUUCUUCAGUAGUUUUUUGAACUCAACUUGUCCAUUCCAGCUAAACUUUAUUUCUUAUGCAACAUAAGUCUAUGAAGGCAAGAUUUUUCUUGGCAGCAUAAUUACUGCUACCUAAUAAGGGAAGAGAAUUUCCUUCUAAAGAUUCCUGCUGUUUUCUCAGCAGGUGGGAACUUUUGCACUCUGCAGCUGCUGGGUGCCAUUACUGUCCGUCCUGGGCUUGCUCUUUCCAUUCUGAGAUGGGAAUGGAAAAAUCCACAGGGAACAAUUGGGACUGUCCCGGAACUCUUGGACUUUGGGCUACUGUGUGCAUAACCUCGUGGAGGGUUCUGAGCAGCUCUGUCCAUCUACAUGUGAAGGAUCAAAGGGUGCCCCAGGUGUGUCCCUACUGACUCCAUAUAAGGCCCAGGGGAAGUUGUGCCCUGAAGAUAAAGGAAAUUAAGCUUCAGCACCCUUCAGUUGUCAGGGACUAGACCUUUCUAAGACACCAGGCAGAGGACCUAGCAAUGUGUGCAUAUGUUUCUUUUAUAAAUGGCAAAAAUAAGACAUUUUUCUAUUGUUUUCCAUUAAAGAUGGUCUCAAAAACUUUGUAAGUUUAGGCCCCACAAAUCUGUGUCCACCCUUGACAGGCUUCCUCUGGCUAUGCCUGAAGGAUUUUCCCUUUAUAUAACUAGAUAGUCAGCAGCCUCAACUCCAAGCCAGGGCACACUGGCAUGCCAGGGAUGGUGUGGGAAUGCAAGUAAAGAGGGGCAUUCACAACUCUGUUGGCUGCUGGAUGCAGAGAAAACCACAAGCUGGAUAAAGAGCAGCCUCUGGGGAAAAACAAGCUGUAGACCUGAGGUCCAGCAGCAAGAGUUCCUUCUUCAAACAGGUGGUUAGCAAGUGGCACCCAUCAGCUACCUGUUAAGUCUUUGAGAAAAAUUAACGACCUACUUUAUAAUUUAUACAAACAAAAAUACUGUCGCCUAUGUGCUGCGCCCCAGCCAUUCCCCAGCCCUGGUGCGGCUGUGUCCUGUAGUGGAGACAGCCCUGGAUAGGUUCCAGCCUUGGCUCCUCUGCUAGGUAGCUAAGUUAUGAAUGCUUAGCUUUGUUCAUCUUUAAAAUGAGUGUGUUGUAUUAGGCAGUCUCACUCUGAAACUUAAAUCAUUUUAUGGUAUGGGGGUAGAGUUUAUAUGAUUUCUGUAGAGAUACAAGAGUAGUGCUGUGGGAAAGUAUGACGCACCUGUUGGGAAGGAGGUUGACAUAUGGAGAAAAAUCAGACCAUAUGGGAUUAUGAAAUUUAAAAAAUUAUCUCCUCCUGCUCAGUAAACGUGCCAAAUAUAAGCCUAUCAUCCUAAGAACUGUCUUCCUUUUAACAAAUGAGAAGAAAUUAUGUGCAUUUCCAAAAUUAAAGGGAUAUUCACGUCAUGUUAAAUGUGUGACAUAUGUAGGCAACGACGAAGUUCUGAGAAGUAAGUUUGUGUUUACGGUAUGGCCUUUGUUAUUUAGGAGAUUACAAUUAAAACAGGACUAGCCCAGAUGAAACAAUUAACAAAGCUGAUGAGCUAUAACCAAAACCCAUGAUUAGUGAUGGGUUCAUUGAAUACAUUCUAGUACAUCUGUUCUAUGGAAUACCAUGCAAUCAAUCAUCAAGUAGAAUGAACCACAUUUAUAUGUAUUGACUUGGGAAGGUGUAGAAGACAUAUUAAGUAAACAUAAACAAGUGGUAAAUUAUAAUGAAAAAUAUGACCAUGUUUUUGUUAAAAGCAUAAAUGAGACCUCAACAGGUGAUUCAGUGCUUGUGUAAGCGUAGAAAAAAUAUGGAAUGAUAUAUACACCAGCAUGCUAAUACUGGUUACUUUAAGAGAGUAUAAUUGGACAGGGGAGGAGAAAAAAUAUAUACAUUAUAUAUA
Molecule: long non-coding RNA, 3995 nt
Filed under: Homo sapiens (human)
Lineage: Eukaryota; Metazoa; Chordata; Mammalia; Primates; Hominidae
Description: HSALNT0030334
Source: RNAcentral